UACGUAGGUGGCGAGCGUUGUCCGGAUUUACUGGGCGUAAAGGGUUCGCAGGCGGCCUUGUAAGUCAGAUGUGAAAGACAGCGGCUUAACCGUUGUAAGCAUUUGAAACUGCAGGGCUUGAGUACAGGAGAGGAGAGUGGAAUUCCAUGUGUAGCGGUGAAAUGCGUAGAUAUAUGGAGGAACACCAGUGGCGAAGGCGACUCUCUGGUCUGUAACUGACGCUGAGGCACGAAAGCGUGGGGAGCAAACAGGAUUAGA
Molecule: ribosomal RNA, 258 nt
Filed under: uncultured prokaryote
Description: partial 16S ribosomal RNA
Rfam family: Bacterial small subunit ribosomal RNA
Source: RNAcentral